AAUUUAUCAUCUACAGGAUGAAGUCAGGAUCACAAACAAAUAAGAAAAUCUAUUCAAGAACUUCAAGAAACUGUCCACUGAGACAUAAAAACAUGUACAUAGGCUAUUUCAAAAUACAGACAAAGCAGGAUUUGUCAAAGUUGUGUUUUUGACAAAGAAGGUUUAAAACCUUUGUGGACAUGGAUUUUGAAACUUCUUAAAACUCUGGAAGGAUGAGGAAAAGGAACGUGGCAUUGAAAUGGAACAUGUUGGACAGGGUUAUCACGAUCAUGCAUUUAUAAAAGAUGACAGCAUAUCAGCACUGCCUUAAGAUUGGAGUUGAGACCUUGUAUUUUUCACACAGAAAAUAAAGAACAGUUGCUGAAUGAAACAGAUACUCACAGAAGCAAAUGUAAUGAGCCCAAAAUAAUGGUGAUCAAUUUUGAAUGACUUUAUUCUCUGGUUGAAAUGUUAUUGAAAUGAUACAUACUGAUCCAAUUUUAGAAGUGGUUGACAAUGAAUACUAAGUAAUUUGUUGUACAUAAGUAUAAUGGCUUAUUUUAAAACUGUAUAAAGUUUGCAAUUUUUAUAUCAAAUGUAAUGAUAUUGUGUAGGAAUCAAUUUUUUUAAGGAUAAAAGAUGUAUUUUUUUUUCAAUCAGAAUUUCAUAAAAAGACUUUCUAAUGUAAAUACAUAUAUGGAUAAUAGAAGAUUAUAAUAUUUUCUUUUACUGUCAUUGAAAUACUGUAAUAAUGAACUGCAAUUUUACACAAAAAUGUUUUAACUUGAAAGUUUCAAAUUUCAAGGUUUUAUGAAGUUUGAAUUGUGGUUCAUAUUGCUUUUUAUUGAACUAUCUCCCUUAACCUUAGAUUUGUUGUGCAUUCUAUGUAAUAAAUUUAAUUUUGGAACAUAUGGGGAAGGUCUUGUUU
Long non-coding RNA from Saccostrea cuccullata (small rock oyster), 907 nucleotides. RefSeq lists it as uncharacterized. The record is from RefSeq and is a predicted model, not a curated record. The transcript has 3 exons. NCBI's taxonomy places the organism in Eukaryota, Metazoa, Mollusca, Bivalvia, Ostreida, Ostreidae.